RNAcentral lists this non-coding RNA (27 nucleotides) under Cricetulus griseus (Chinese hamster). Lineage: Eukaryota; Metazoa; Chordata; Mammalia; Rodentia; Cricetidae. The record is from RNAcentral.
UUCCAUGCUGAGUGUUAAUUUCUGAAU